GACGUAGGGCGCAAGCGUUGUCCGGAUUUAUUGGGCGUAAAGAGCUCGUAGGCGGCCUGUCGCGUCGACCGUGAAAACCCGCAGCUCAACUGCGGGCUUGCGGUCGAUACGGGCAGGCUGGAGUUCGGUAGGGGAGACUGGAAUUCCUGGUGUAGCGGUGAAAUGCGCAGACUAUCAGGAGGAACACCGGUGGCGAAGGCGGGUCUCUGGGC
RNAcentral lists this ribosomal RNA (212 nucleotides) under uncultured bacterium. Its description in RNAcentral is "partial 16S ribosomal RNA". It matches the Rfam family "Bacterial small subunit ribosomal RNA", at positions 524 to 734 of the family's 1533-position model. The record is from RNAcentral.